AUUACCCAAUCCUGACGCAGGGAGGUAGUGACAAUAAAUAACAAUGCCGGGCCUUUACAGGUCUGGCAAUUGGAAUGAGAACAAUUUAAAUCCCUUAUCGAGUAUCAAUUGGAGGGCAAGUCUGGUGCCAGCAGCCGCGGUAAUUCCAGCUCCAAUAGCGUAUAUUAAAGUUGUUGCAGUUAAAAAGCUCGUAGUUGGAUUUCUGGCAGGAGGAGCCGGUCACACACUCUGUGCGUGAACUCGUGCUGUCUCUGGCCAUCCUCGGGGAGAUCCUGUUUGGCAUUAAGUUGUCGGGCAGGGGAUACCCGUCGUUUACUGUGAAAAAAUUAGAGUGUUUAAAGCAGGCUUAUGCCGUUGAAUAUAUUAGCAUGGAAUAAUAAGAUAGGACUUCGGAACUAUUUUGUUGGUUUGCGUUACGAAGUAAUGAUUAAUAGGGACAGUUGGGGGUAUUCGUAUUUCAUUGUCAGAGGUGAAAUUCUUGGAUUUCUGAAAGACGAACUACUGCGAAAGCAUUUACCAAGGAUGUUUUCAUUAAUCAAGAACGAAAGUUAGGGGAUCGAAGAUGAUUAGAUACCAUCGUAGUCUUAACCAUAAACUAUGCCGACUCGGGAUUGGCAGUUGUUUUUUGACUCUGUCAGCA
This 640-nucleotide ribosomal RNA is filed under the name uncultured Thalassiosiraceae. RNAcentral's name for it is "SSU rRNA". It matches the Rfam family "Eukaryotic small subunit ribosomal RNA", at positions 440 to 1085 of the family's 1831-position model. Lineage: Eukaryota; Bacillariophyta; Thalassiosirophyceae; Thalassiosirales; Thalassiosiraceae. The record is from RNAcentral.